This 530-nucleotide ribosomal RNA is filed under the name uncultured bacterium. RNAcentral's name for it is "bacterial SSU rRNA". It matches the Rfam family "Bacterial small subunit ribosomal RNA", at positions 777 to 1305 of the family's 1533-position model. The record is from RNAcentral.
AAUAGAUACCCAGGUAGUCCACGCCGUAAACGAUGAGUGCUAAGUGUUAGAGGGUUUCCGCCCUUUAGUGCUGCAGCUAACGCAUUAAGCACUCCGCCUGGGGAGUACGGUCGCAAGACUGAAACUCAAAGGAAUUGACGGGGGCCCGCACAAGCGGUGGAGCAUGUGGUUUAAUUCGAAGCAACGCGAAGAACCUUACCAGGUCUUGACAUCCCACUGACCGGUAUAGAGAUAUACCUUUCCCUUCGGGGACAGUGGUGACAGGUGGUGCAUGGUUGUCGUCAGCUCGUGUCGUGAGAUGUUGGGUUAAGUCCCGCAACGAGCGCAACCCUUGAUCUUAGUUGCCAGCAUUUAGUUGGGCACUCUAAGGUGACUGCCGGUGACAAACCGGAGGAAGGUGGGGAUGACGUCAAAUCAUCAUGCCCCUUAUGACCUGGGCUACACACGUGCUACAAUGGAUGGUACAAAGGGCUGCAAGACUGCGAAGUCAAGCCAAUCCCAUAAAACCAUUCUCAGUUCGGAUUGCAGGC